This 253-nucleotide ribosomal RNA is filed under the name uncultured bacterium. RNAcentral's name for it is "partial 16S ribosomal RNA". It matches the Rfam family "Bacterial small subunit ribosomal RNA", at positions 524 to 776 of the family's 1533-position model. The record is from RNAcentral.
UACGAAGGGGGCUAGCGUUGCUCGGAAUCACUGGGCGUAAAGCACACGUAGGCGGGUCGUUAAGUCGGGGGUGAAAUCCUGGAGCUCAACUCCAGAACUGCCUUCGAUACUGGCGAUCUUGAGUCUGGGAGAGGUGAGUGGAACUCCGAGUGUAGAGGUGAAAUUCGUAGAUAUUCGGAAGAACACCAGUGGCGAAGGCGGCUCACUGGCCCGUUACUGACGCUGAGGCACGAAAGCGUGGGGAGCAAACAGG